Molecule: ribosomal RNA, 253 nt
Filed under: uncultured bacterium
Lineage: Bacteria
Description: partial 16S ribosomal RNA
Rfam family: Bacterial small subunit ribosomal RNA
Source: RNAcentral
UACGUAGGGGGCAAGCGUUGUCCGGAUUUAUUGGGCGUAAAGCGCACGUAGGCGGCUUCCUAAGUCGGAUGUGAAAUCCCUCGGCUCAACCGAGGACGUGCAUCCGAAACUGGGAAGCUCGAGUAUGGAAGAGGGUCGCGGAAUUCUCGGUGUAGAGGUGAAAUUCGUAGAUAUCGGGAGGAACACCAGUGGCGAAGGCGGCGACCUGGGCCAAUACUGACGCUGAGGUGCGAAAGCGUGGGGAGCAAACAGG